AUGGUCUGGAACAAAAAACAAAACAAAACAAAACAAAACAAAACAAAACAAAACAUGUAUCUCAAUCCAAACCCACAGGGCAAUUUCCUGAGAAAUGGGCCAGAAUUAGCACUGCUGUGUCAUUCUGUGACCCAGUUUUUGCACAUUGUGGAAGCAGCUGUUCUUAGGGCUGAACUCAGAUCUAACAAGCUGACACCACAACACCACCUGUUGCAGAGCUCAGCUGAAGGCUGGAUAGUGAUCCACAUUAUAACAUGCUAAAUGUUUGAUACAGUCACUAACCUACAAGCUUUUCUCUUCAGCAUCUAAUGUAUGGGGAACCUGCUACAUAUCAUAUUGGGACAGCAGUUACACCAGACCCUGAGCAUAUGAAAUGGAGGCCAUCUGGACAUCUGGAUAAUGUUUCAUUGUGCAGCUGAAAAUUUGCAUUCAUUAUUUAAGGACUGUGAACAUCUCAGAGAGGUUGUUUGGCUGAAGUCAAUCAAUUCCUUAGAAAGAAGAAAUAUCCAAGUCUCCUGGAGUAGGGAUGGCAUAAACUGAGGCCAAAUUUGACUAUGUGAAUACAAAGCAGCCGUUCUUGUUUUACCAAGAAAAUUAUCCACUUUCCCGAUCUCUAUAUGCAUACCAAUUUUCUGAGUUAUCUUGCAUGUCUAUAAGUGCAGUUUAAAGUAUUUUAGAAUAUCAUUAAAUAACAGUAUGUAUUUCAACACAGAGCUAUGGUCAGAUCAGUUGUUUUUUCUUAUGAGUCCAUAAUAUGCAACCAGCCU
Molecule: long non-coding RNA, 767 nt
Filed under: Anas platyrhynchos platyrhynchos (common mallard)
Lineage: Eukaryota; Metazoa; Chordata; Aves; Anseriformes; Anatidae
Description: lncRNA (ENSAPLG00000020100.1)
Source: RNAcentral